CAUAUAGGCAAACUAUACCCGAAAGGGUACGACGCAAAGCUAUAGGGCCUGAAUUCAAGUAUGCUAGCCAGUUGCAGA
Molecule: non-coding RNA, 78 nt
Filed under: uncultured Blautia sp.
Lineage: Bacteria; Bacillati; Bacillota; Clostridia; Lachnospirales; Lachnospiraceae
Description: Cyclic di-GMP-I riboswitch
Rfam family: c-di-GMP-I riboswitch aptamer
About the family: GEMM was predicted in a large-scale screen for bacterial structured RNA regulatory elements. Genes associated with GEMM are involved in a diverse array of functions, including chemotaxis regulation, signal transduction, secretion and chitin.
Source: RNAcentral